GGGCCCGCACAAGCGGUGGAGCAUGUGGUUUAAUUCGAUGCAACGCGAAGAACCUUACCAGCCCUUGACAUCCUCGGAACUUGGUAGAGAUACCUUGGUGCCUUCGGGAAUCGAGUGACAGGUGCUGCAUGGCUGUCGUCAGCUCGUGUCGUGAGAUGUUGGGUUAAGUCCCGCAACGAGCGCAACCCUUGUCCCUAGUUGCCAGCACUUCGGGUGGGAACUCUAGAGAGACUGCCGGUGAUAAACCGGAGGAAGGUGUGGAUGACGUCAAGUCAUCAUGCCCCUUACAUCCUGGGCUACACACGUACUACAAUGGUCGGUACAGAGGGCCGCAAUCCCGCGAGGGGGAGCCAAUCCCACAAAGCCGGUCUCAGUUCGGAUUGGAGUCUGCAACUCGACUCCAUGAAGCUGGAGUCGCUAGUAA
Molecule: ribosomal RNA, 424 nt
Filed under: uncultured bacterium
Lineage: Bacteria
Description: bacterial SSU rRNA
Rfam family: Bacterial small subunit ribosomal RNA
Source: RNAcentral